UACGAAGGGGGGCUAGCGUUGCUCGGAAUCACUGGGCGUAAAGCGCACGUAGGCGGCUUUUUAAGUCAGAGGUGAAAUCCCUGGAGCUCAACUCCAGAACUGCCUUUGAUACUGGAGAGCUUGAGUCCGGGAGAGGUGAGUGGAACUGCGAGUGUAGAGUGAAAUUCGUAGAUAUUCGCAAGAACACCAGUGGCGAAGGCGGCUCACUGGCCCGGUACUGACGCUGAGGUGCGAAACGUGGGGACAACAGGAUUAAGAU
Molecule: ribosomal RNA, 259 nt
Filed under: uncultured bacterium
Lineage: Bacteria
Description: partial 16S ribosomal RNA
Rfam family: Bacterial small subunit ribosomal RNA
Source: RNAcentral